This is a long non-coding RNA of Amaranthus tricolor (Joseph's coat), 1843 nucleotides long. RefSeq lists it as uncharacterized. NCBI's taxonomy places the organism in Eukaryota, Viridiplantae, Streptophyta, Magnoliopsida, Caryophyllales, Amaranthaceae. The transcript is spliced from 5 exons. The record is from RefSeq and is a predicted model, not a curated record.
UUUUUUUUCAGUAAUGGAUUUUAAUUUUUUUAUUUUUUAUUAGGAAAUUGUGUAUCUUAAGAUUUCUUUGAUGGAAAGGGGAGAAAUGAAGUCGGUAAAGACGUCGGCGAUAACAUCUUCGUCUUCGGAAUUUGGUCAAAAGAAAUUAGCUCGACAAUUGGAUUUUACGGCGGUUCAGCGUUUUCCGGUUCAACACAAGUUGCGCAUACUGUAGCUGUGUCGCCACUCGCCAAUGGGGAUUCCACGUCUCCACCAGUUGAUUAUUCAGAGAUGUUGCACUUCUUAUGGUUGACUUUGUAGACAAAUUCGUGAUCAAGGGUUUCGAGAUUAGUUACUUGAACAUUGGAGGAGGUUUGGGAAUACACUACUAUCACAGUGGCGCUGUUUUACCCACACCUAGAGAUCUUAUUGAUACGGUGGGGUUUCAGAUGAUUUUGAUGCUUGAUAGGAACAACCUAUGUGAUCAAGGUAGCUAAAAGGAGUGAUUUGUCUCCAGAAUCUACUACUGUAAAUAUAGCUAUAAUCCAUCAUAUUCUCGAAACUGGUAUGAAAAGGAGUAAAUUUGUGUUUUGGUCGACUACUGGUGCUGUAGCAGGUGCAAUAGCGAUUUCAGAAGUGAUGCCAAGUCAAUACAAACACAUGUUGGGAGGUCCUUCAAUGAAGGUUGACUUGCAUACAACAGCCACGACAAAAGGGGUGUUGACUUUUCUUAUAACCUUUGUUGUCCUGUUCACUUAAACUUUUUCCAGUUGCAUAGCCUACAAUCUAUAUUCUUAUUUCAAAACUUCAAUAAUUAGGCAAUUUUUAUUACUAUAUUAGCAUGCGAAAACACCAUCAUCAGCAGUGGCUUUUUAAAAAUUAAUCUAACUUAUAGUUUAUCAUGUUUAAGUGCAACUGCGCAAGUCUUUUUUUCAUAUCAGAAUAUAUAGGUACCUUUGAAGGUCCUUGAUCAACUCCACCAUGCAUUUUGUUCUAUCUUCGCGAAAGAAAGAUCUGGAGGUCUAUGAUUUUUGAGUAAGAAUUAAACGGUCAGUAUUUAUUAACUCAUCUCGUGAGACUUGACAUAGCUCAGGAAGGAGGUGCUUACACCCCUAGCACCAGGAAUGAUCGAGGAGAUUGAGACCCGCCUCAAGUUCCUGCCCCUAUCUAUAGCUAUGAGACAGUGAUGAUUCUGUGGCUGGCUCUGUGCUCAUCCAUGAUAUGCUGUUGCUGUUAUUCUGAUCUUGAAUCAGAUGCCUCUCACAAGUUGUUGGCACUGUCUUGAUGUUAUACUGCUGAACUUAUGAGAUGCAGCAUAUGCUGAUGCUAAAUGCUCAAUUCUGAGGGCUAUGCUGCUGCAAGUUGAUGCAAGCUGCUGCUAUGCAGCCAAUUCGUAGACAGCCAAGCUUUUUUUUUGUCGGAUGAGAUUAGUUUUUGCUGCUGUAAUCUAGAGGCUGCACAGUCUCUCUAGGUCCCUCACAAUUGUGCUUUUCAACCUGCUUCCUGUCUGAAUGCACGAUACACGAGGCUACAUUCUACUAUUUGCUGCCUACAUUGGAUUUUUAUAAUCAUCCUACUGGUAUUGUGCAAGGGGCAAAGCUGCUGCCUUGUCUGAAUGCACGAUACACAAUGCUACAUUCUACUGUUUGCUGCCUACAUUGGAUUUUCAUAAUCAUCCUACUGGUAUUGUGUAGGGGGCAAAGCCGCUGCCUUUAGAAAUCACUCCUACAUUGUACUGAUAGCUCCGUUAUCUGUAGGUCCUCUUUGAUUGGUUUUAGAACCCAUGUAAAUUGCCAAGCAUUUGUUGAACUCUGGUAAUGCCUAUCUUAUUGUAUUUGCAAGGUAUGAUUGGUUUCAUUUUCAA